UUAAUUGAAACCAAAAAGAGGUAUGUCACUGUUAAUGACAUCAAUAAGAUUCAAUCUUCAAUUAAA
RNAcentral lists this transfer RNA (66 nucleotides) under Campsosternus auratus. RNAcentral describes it as "tRNA-Asn". Lineage: Eukaryota; Metazoa; Arthropoda; Insecta; Coleoptera; Elateridae. The record is from RNAcentral.